ACCACCUCAGAGGCCAUGGCUCCGGGCAGCCCGUGUUGAGUCCAGAUAAAAGUAGCAGAGGAUUGUCUCUACGGUUUCUCUUGCAUCCCACACUCCUGCGCUCUGUCAAAGCAGCUGACAUCAAACUGGUGCGCUCCUGCAAACGGCCACAUCAGCUCUCCCUGAUGACACCCGGACUCCCGUGAUUAUUCCACAGUGAAAGAUUGCGCACAUGCAUACCAAGGAGGCUACCGGACCAGCUUGUGAUUGACACCUGAUUCAGCCAAUCAAAAGUCUUCCGUCUUGUAACCGGUCCAGCCCCCUGUGAUAAUUGGAAGCAAGAGGUCUGCUGUCCAGCUGUUUAUCAGAGAGAAACAGCGACGCCUACUGGUCGGAGAGCAGCCUGCAAAAGCAGUAC
This is a long non-coding RNA of Micropterus dolomieu (smallmouth bass), 397 nucleotides long. RefSeq lists it as uncharacterized. Lineage: Eukaryota; Metazoa; Chordata; Actinopteri; Centrarchiformes; Centrarchidae. The record is from RefSeq and is a predicted model, not a curated record. The transcript has 3 exons.